RNAcentral lists this ribosomal RNA (429 nucleotides) under Gemmatimonadota bacterium. RNAcentral's name for it is "Gemmatimonadetes bacterium partial 16S ribosomal RNA". It matches the Rfam family "Bacterial small subunit ribosomal RNA", at positions 355 to 776 of the family's 1533-position model. Lineage: Bacteria; Pseudomonadati; Gemmatimonadota. The record is from RNAcentral.
UAGGGAAUCUUCGGCAAUGGACGAAAGUCUGACCGAGCAACGCCGCGUGAGUGAAGAAGGUUUUCGGAUCGUAAAACUCUGUUGUUAGAGAAGAACAAGGACGUUAGUAACUGAACGUCCCCUGACGGUAUCUAACCAGAAAGCCACGGCUAACUACGUGCCAGCAGCCGCGGUAAUACGUAGGUGGCAAGCGUUGUCCGGAUUUAUUGGGCGUAAAGCGAGCGCAGGCGGUUUCUUAAGUCUGAUGUGAAAGCCCCCGGCUCAACCGGGGAGGGUCAUUGGAAACUGGGAGACUUGAGUGCAGAAGAGGGGAGUGGAAUUCCAUGUGUAGCGGUGAAAUGCGUAGAUAUAUGGAGGAACACCAGCGGCGAAGGCGGCUCUCUGGUCUGUAACUGACGCUGAGGCUCGAAAGCGUGGGGAGCAAACAGG